CUCAUGGUUUCACGGUAUUGCAAUGAGAACAAUUUAAAACCCUUAGCGAGAAUCAGGUGGAGGACAAGUCUGGUGCCAGCACCCGCGGUAAUUCCAGCUCCACUAGCGUAUAUUAAGGUUGUUGCAGUUAAAAAGCUCGUAGUUGAACCUCUGUCUGGGGCUAGUUUUGGCUUUGGUCAGGCUAGUUCUAGGCAUCCGCCUACAAGACUUGGAGGGCAUUCGUUGUUCACUAGGAGGAGUAGGCAUUUUACUUUGAAAAAAUUAGAGUGUUUAAGGCAGGCAAUCGCCCGCAUAUAUUAGCAUGGAAUAAUAGAAUAGGACACUUUUCCAUUUCGUUGGUUAUUGGAAUCGUGUAAUGAUUAAUAGGGACAGUUGUGGGCAUUUGUAUUUAAUUGUCAGAGGUGAAAUUCUUGGAUUUAUUAAAGACAAACUAACGCGAAAGCAUUUGCCAAGGAUGUUUUCAUUAAUCAAGAACGAAAGUUAGGGGAUCAAAGACGAUCAGAUACCGUCCUAGUCUUAACUAUAAACUAUUCCGACUCAAUGUUUGACUGGCUUAUAUAACCAGUUGAGCGUUGUAUGAGAAAUCAAAGUCUUUAGGUUCUGGGGGGAGUAUGGUUGCAAAGCUGAAACUUAAAGGAAUUGACGGAAGAGCACAACCAGGAGUGGAUUCUGCGGCUUAAUUUGACUCAACACGGGGAAACUUACCAGGUUAAAACAAUAGUGGGAUUGACAGUUUGAGAGCGCUUUCUUGAUUGGUUGGGUGGUGGUGCAUGGCCGUUCUUAGUUGGUGGAGUGAUUUGUCUGCUUAAUUGCGUUAACGAACGAGACCUUAACCUGCUUACUAGACUGGCGAUCAUCAAUCGUUAGCUCUUCUUAGAGGGACUUUGGUUGUUUUAACUCCAAGGAAGUUUGAGGCAAUAACAGGUCUGUGAUGCCCUUAGAUAUCCUGGGCCGCACGCGUCAUACUAUGACUAGUUCAGAAAGUUUUCUCCUGACCCGAAAGGGGAUGGGUAAUCUUGAUAAUACUAGUCGUGUUAGGGAUCGAUCUUUGCAAUUAUAGAUCUUGUACGAGGAAUUCCUAGUAAGUGCGGUUCAUCAGACCGUACUGAUUACGUCCCUGCUCUUUGUACACACCGCCCGUCGCUUCUACCGAGUGGGUGGUCCGGUGAGAUAAUUGAACUUCGCAGGUAACUGAGAGGAAAGAUUAUCAAACCUAUCCACCU
This 1223-nucleotide ribosomal RNA is filed under the name metagenome. RNAcentral describes it as "SSU rRNA". It matches the Rfam family "Eukaryotic small subunit ribosomal RNA", at positions 493 to 1774 of the family's 1831-position model. The record is from RNAcentral.